GAUCCUGGCUCAGGAUGAACGCUAGCGACAGGCUUAACACAUGCAAGUCGAGGGGCAGCACAGGUAGCAAUACCGGGUGGCGACCGGCACACGGGUGAGUAACGCGUAUGCAACUUACCUAUCAGAGGGGGAUAACCUGGCGAAAGUCGGACUAAUACCGCAUGAAGCAGGGGCCCCGCAUGGGGAUAUUUGCUAAAGAUUUAUCGCUGAUAGAUAGGCAUGCGUUCCAUUAGG
This 234-nucleotide ribosomal RNA is filed under the name uncultured bacterium. Its description in RNAcentral is "partial 16S ribosomal RNA". It matches the Rfam family "Bacterial small subunit ribosomal RNA", at positions 15 to 245 of the family's 1533-position model. The record is from RNAcentral.